AGGACGAACGCUGGCGGCGUGCCUAACACAUGCAAGUCGAACGCGCUCCAUUCGGUAGCAAUACUGAUGAAGAGCGAGUGGCGAACGGGUGAGUAGCACGUGAGCAACCUGCCCCGAAGACCGGGACAACACCGGGAAACCGGUGCUAAUACCGGAUAUCCCUAUCGGACCGCAUGAUCUGAUAAGGAAAUGGAUUCCGCUUCGGGAGGGGCUCGCGGCCUAUCAGCUAGUUGGUGAGGUAACGGCCCACCAAGGCAUCGACGGGUAGCUGGUCUGAGAGGACGAUCAGCCACACUGGGACUGAGACACGGCCCAGACUCCUACGGGAGGCAGCAGUGGGAAUCUUGCGCAAUGGGCGAAAGCCUGACGCAGCAACGCGCGUGGAGGACGAAGGCUUUCUGAGUUGUAAACUCCUUUCAGCAGGGACGAUAGUGACGGUACCUGCAGAAGAGCACCGGCCAACUACGUGCCAGCAGCCG
Molecule: ribosomal RNA, 479 nt
Filed under: uncultured bacterium
Lineage: Bacteria
Description: SSU rRNA
Rfam family: Bacterial small subunit ribosomal RNA
Source: RNAcentral